UCUGUGAUAUGAAUUGCAAAUAUUUUUUUGCAGCUUGUCAUUUGUUUUUUGACUUUGCUUAUUGCUAAUUCGUCCUCCUGUAUUUGUUCGUUUGCCCACGUAGAAAUUUUUUAUGGAGUUAAAUUUACCAACUAUUUCUCUUAUGGCUUUUGGGUUUUGUAUCAUGGUUUUAAAGAGGCUUCCCUGUGCUGAUGUCACCAGAGAAUUCUCUUCCGGUUUCCCCCAAUAAAUGUAUCGUUUUACAUUCUGCAUUGAAAUCUUUGAUCCAUUUGAAAUGUAUGCUGGUGUAAGACAUCUGACCCAACUCGCCAGUCUGCUCUUCUGUGGUAUCAUCAUUCACUACCACCCAACCUGAGCCCUUUAAAGAUGUAGAGAUCAUUCUGGAUGCCUGAUUCCAGGAAGGAUGAGGAGAAUUAAUGACACAUGGACCAAACGGUGAACAGCAAUCAGGGUGUUACCUCCCCAUUCCAUCUUUGCUUGAUUUUUUUUAAACUAGACUUCUUCCCAUAAAGCCAUAGGCCAUAAUUAUGUCAUACAAGCACCUGAAUAAAAAUCACUUUAAAGUA
Long non-coding RNA from Neofelis nebulosa (Clouded leopard), 566 nucleotides. RefSeq lists it as uncharacterized. Lineage: Eukaryota; Metazoa; Chordata; Mammalia; Carnivora; Felidae. The transcript is spliced from 2 exons. The record is from RefSeq and is a predicted model, not a curated record.